CAGCCGCCGCGGUAAUACGUAGGCAGCAAGCGUUGUUCGGAGUUACUGGGCGUAAAGGGUGUGUAGGCGGUUCUCUAAGUUUGGUGUGAAAUCUCCCGGCUCAACCGGGAGGGUGCGCCGAAAACUGGGGAGCUAGAGUAUGGGAUGGGAAAGUGGAAUUCCUGGUGUAGCGGUGAAAUGCGUAGAUAUCAGGAGGAACACCGGUGGUGUAGACGGCUUUCUGGACCAUAACUGACGCUGAGACGCGAAAGCGUGGGUAGCAAACAGGAUUAGAUACCCCUGUAGUCCCUGUCUCUUAUAA
RNAcentral lists this ribosomal RNA (301 nucleotides) under uncultured bacterium. RNAcentral describes it as "partial 16S ribosomal RNA". It matches the Rfam family "Bacterial small subunit ribosomal RNA", at positions 509 to 809 of the family's 1533-position model. The record is from RNAcentral.